CCUACGGGGGGCAGCAGUGAGGAAUAUUGGUCAAUGGACGAGAGUCUGAACCAGCCAAGUAGCGUGAAGGAUGACUGCCCUAUGGGUUGUAAACUUCUUUUAUAUGGGAAUAAAAUGUUCCACGUGUGGGAUUUUGUAUGUACCAUAUGAAUAAGGAUCGGCUAACUCCGUGCCAGCAGCCGCGGUAAUACGGAGGAUCCGAGCGUUAUCCGGAUUUAUUGGGUUUAAAGGGAGCGUAGGUGGAUUGUUAAGUCAGUUGUGAAAGUUUGCGGCUCAACCGUAAAAUUGCAGUUGAAACUGGCAGUCUUGAGUACAGUAGAGGUGGGCGGAAUUCGUGGUGUAUCGGUGAAAUGCUUAGAUAUCACGAAGAACUCCGAUUGCGAAGGCAGUUCACUGGACUGCAACUGACACUGAGGCUCGAAAGUGUGGGUAUCAAACAGGAUUAGAUACCCUUGUAGUC
Molecule: ribosomal RNA, 460 nt
Filed under: uncultured bacterium
Lineage: Bacteria
Description: partial 16S ribosomal RNA
Rfam family: Bacterial small subunit ribosomal RNA
Source: RNAcentral